Molecule: unclassified non-coding RNA, 398 nt
Filed under: fungal sp.
Lineage: Eukaryota; Fungi
Description: partial internal transcribed spacer region
Rfam family: Eukaryotic small subunit ribosomal RNA (bases 1-46)
Source: RNAcentral
AAGUCGUAACAAGGUUUCCGUAGGUGAACCUGCGGACGGAUCAUUAACGCGUAUCCAAACGUUAAACCCCCGUGAACCUUCAGCCUGCUCUUGUAACCCGCGUAGUUCGCAAUCUCUGGUAAAUCAAGUGGGAGGAAAGUUUUGAUUCAGAGACCUCUUGGAACAGUUACAAUGGAGCGGUAGUUCUAUAGGCAUUGUUUCCCCAAGCAGUCAGUGUCUGAAAGUGUCAUUGAUUGUACAAGGAUAGCGCUUCACGAUUCCUGUAGACCGUACACUCGGGCAGGAGCUAUGCCAAAGGGUCCCCAUGCCCCCUAAUAACCCCACAGUUUAAUGUGAAGCUCAAUGUACAUUGGGUAAAAAUACUUGCACAACUGUUACCGAUGGAUAUCUUGGUUCUC